RNAcentral lists this ribosomal RNA (1482 nucleotides) under uncultured bacterium. RNAcentral's name for it is "16S ribosomal RNA". It matches the Rfam family "Bacterial small subunit ribosomal RNA". The record is from RNAcentral.
CUGGCUCAGGAUGAACGCUAGCGGCAGGCUUAACACAUGCAAGUCGAGGGGCAGCGGGGAGGAAGCUUGCUUUCUCCGCCGGCGACCGGCGCACGGGUGAGUAACACGUAUGCAACCUGCCCCUGUCAGGGGGACAACCCGCCGAAAGGCGGGCUAAACCCGCGUACAUGCCACCGGGGCAUCCCGGAGGCAGGAAAGGCUUCGGCCGGACAGGGAUGGGCAUGCGGCGCAUUAGGCAGUAGGCGGGGUAACGGCCCACCUAACCGACGAUGCGUAGGGGUUCUGAGAGGAAGGUCCCCCACACUGGUACUGAGACACGGACCAGACUCCUACGGGAGGCAGCAGUGAGGAAUAUUGGUCAAUGGUCGGGAGACUGAACCAGCCAAGCCGCGUGAGGGAUGAAGGUACAGAGUAUCGUAAACCUCUUUUGUCAGGGAACAAAGGCGGGGACGUGUCCCCGGAUGAGUGUACCUGAAGAAAAAGCAUCGGCUAACUCCGUGCCAGCAGCCGCGGUAAUACGGAGGAUGCGAGCGUUAUCCGGAUUUAUUGGGUUUAAAGGGUGCGCAGGCGGUCUGUUAAGUCAGCGGUCAAAGCCCGGGGCUCAACCCCGGCCCGCCGUUGAAACUGGCAGUCUCGAGUUGGAGAGAAGUAUGCGGAAUGCGCGGUGUAGCGGUGAAAUGCAUAGAUAUCGCGCAGAACUCCGAUUGCGAAGGCAGCAUGCCGGCUCCACACUGACGCUGAGGCACGAAAGCGUGGGUAUCGAACAGGAUUAGAUACCCUGGUAGUCCACGCAGUAAACGAUGAAUGCUGGCUGUCCGGGGGGGAUUGACCCCUGGGUGGCGAAGCGAAAGCGAUAAGCAUUCCACCUGGGGAGUACGCCGGCAACGGUGAAACUCAAAGGAAUUGACGGGGGCCCGCACAAGCGGAGGAACAUGUGGUUUAAUUCGAUGAUACGCGAGGAACCUUACCCGGGCUCAAACGGGGAGUGACUCGGGCAGAGACGCCUGUUUCCCACGGGACACUCCCCGAGGUGCUGCAUGGUUGUCGUCAGCUCGUGCCGUGAGGUGUCGGCUUAAGUGCCAUAACGAGCGCAACCCCCGCGUGCAGUUGCUAACAGAUAACGCUGAGGACUCUGCACGGACUGCCGGCGCAAGCCGCGAGGAAGGCGGGGAUGACGUCAAAUCAGCACGGCCCUUACGUCCGGGGCGACACACGUGUUACAAUGGGUGGUACAGCGGGAAGCCAGGCGGCGACGCCGAGCGGAACCCGAAAUCCACUCUCAGUUCGGAUCGGAGUCUGCAACCCGACUCCGUGAAGCUGGAUUCGCUAGUAAUCGCGCAUCAGCCAUGGCGCGGUGAAUACGUUCCCGGGCCUUGUACACACCGCCCGUCAAGCCAUGGGAGCCGAGGGCGCUUGAAGUGCGUCGCCGCGAGGCGCGCCCUAGAGCGAAAUCGGUGACUGGGGCUAAGUCGUAACAAGGUA